Sitodiplosis mosellana (orange wheat blossom midge) is the source of this 1860-nucleotide long non-coding RNA. RefSeq lists it as uncharacterized. NCBI's taxonomy places the organism in Eukaryota, Metazoa, Arthropoda, Insecta, Diptera, Cecidomyiidae. The record is from RefSeq and is a predicted model, not a curated record. The transcript has 7 exons.
UAUAUGAAAGUGUUUCGCUUCGUCUUGUCGAAAAAGAAAGAGAAUUAAACCGACAUUGAAAAUUAAUUCAUUGGUCUAAACAAAUUGGAAAAUCGAUAUUUUUAUUCGUGGUUCGAUUGUUGGUGCUAAGAAAAUUGUGUCCAGUGCAUAAAGCAGCGACGGAUCUCUUGAAUAUUGGUGGGAAAUUGAGAAGGCUGCAACAUGUAUUCAGAUCUCCAUGAUGAAUUUGGCAAUUACAUUGGCCCACAUUUAGAGAGUGAUAAUGAUGACGAUCAGAGUGCGAAGAGCCAAUUCGAAAUGUUGAAUUUAAGAUUUUGGAUGCAGUUAUUGCAAAUGAACCGCUGAAUCGAGGUGGUGGUCGAAUCAUUCUAACCGCUCGUUGUGUUGCCUACUCAGCAUUUUUGAUGGCAAAACCUCGAUUAAUGGAACCAUAUAAUUUUGUCGAAGUACAAGCAUCGGGCGAUUGUGUUUCAGCCGUUUAUACAGUGCUGGCACGUCGCAGAGGUCAUAUGACACAGGAUUUACUCAUUAUCUUGUCACAAUCAAAGCAUAUUCAUUCCUGCCAUCGAUUCAUUCGGAUUUGAAAUGGAUAUCCGAACACACACCAAAGGACAACCAUUCUGUUCGUCCGUAUUCGAUCAUUGGCAGUUCCCGGUGAUCCACUGAACAAGGGCAUCAUAAUUCGACCACUCGAACCACAGCCAGCCACACAUUUGAAACGAGAGAUACGAUUAAGACACGACGACGAAAAGGUUUAUCAGAAGAUGUGUCAAUAAAGAAGGUGUGAUCAAUAAAUUCUUCGACGAUCCUAUGUUCCUUGAGUUGGCCAGACCAGACGUUCUACUCAAUUAUCCAUUAUAAUAUGUUUAAUAUUCUUCAACUUUCAAUUUGAGAAUAAAUUUCAAUUUGGUUAAUAUACAUCAAUACAAUCAAACAAUAUUUGAGUAAUGUUGGAUACUAGCGUUGUUUCUCAACUGGAAUUUUUGUGAAUACUGAGAUCGAUUUAGUCAAAACAUCAAACGCUCUGCGCUGCAGACACUCUUUCAUUUCAAUGUGUUACAUUGCCCAAUACAAAUUUCCAUAAACGAUCGAGCAAUGAAUUCAAAUGACACGAAAACGGCAGUAAACUUUGCAAUAGUUUUCUUUAUUUUCAGUUAAAACUGUUCUUUCUAUGCGACAUAAAUCUGUUAUUCGGAAAAAAAUUCGUUUGAAAAUAUCCAAACCAAUGGUUUCGGUGUGUUUUUGUGUUAGUUUGAGAACAGCUGGAUUGAUACUGGGAUGGUUUUGUGUGAUCUUUGGAUUCAUAUCGGUGCAUAUAAUCGGUCUUCUGAUAGCGAUUGGGCCGCCCUCACUCUUGAUGAUUCUGGAUUUGAUCAAAAUGUUAUUGACUGCGAAUUUCUAUGCCCCAUGGCUUGUUGGCAUAUACACCGAAGACCCAGUAUUUUUGUUACCAGCUCUAUUCUGGUCACCCACAUACAUUAUCCUUGAAAUCACCUCUUUGGUCAUCUUAUCUAGUUGCCAAGAUCAAGACAUCCUGAGUGUACUUCAUUUCAAUACAGAUAUACAAAGCUUCAUAUCUUCGAUUGGCAUUGCUAUUUUCAUGUGUAUUUUCUGUUUUCAAUAUUCUCUCUACGUAUCCAUAAAGCAGAUGGCCAUGGUUGACAAUUUUCUACGCAAUCAUUAACUCUACUGAAGCACAAGCUACUGUUCGUAAAAGAUGAUUAAUAAAAUCAUUGAGCCCAACGGAUUGUCGAUAUCAAAACCAUUCCUCGGAUUUCUGUUACUCCGGAAUUAAUAAAUAUGGCAUUUGAUCUUAUAGAUUUGCAUUUCAAUAUUUCACAAUAAAAUCGUCAACUUUUA